RNAcentral lists this ribosomal RNA (1228 nucleotides) under Klebsiella quasipneumoniae subsp. similipneumoniae. RNAcentral's name for it is "partial 23S ribosomal RNA". It matches the Rfam family "Bacterial large subunit ribosomal RNA", at positions 1615 to 2823 of the family's 2925-position model. Lineage: Bacteria; Pseudomonadati; Pseudomonadota; Gammaproteobacteria; Enterobacterales; Enterobacteriaceae. The record is from RNAcentral.
AAGCCUCUAAGCAUCAGGUAACACGAAAUCGUACCCCAAACCGACACAGGUGGUCAGGUAGAGAAUACCAAGGCGCUUGAGAGAACUCGGGUGAAGGAACUAGGCAAAAUGGUGCCGUAACUUCGGGAGAAGGCACGCUGGUGUGUAGGUGAAGCCCCUGCGGGUGGAGCUGAGACCAGUCGAAGAUACCAGCUGGCUGCAACUGUUUAUUAAAAACACAGCACUGUGCAAACACGAAAGUGGACGUAUACGGUGUGACGCCUGCCCGGUGCCGGAAGGUUAAUUGAUGGGGUUAUCCGUAAGGAGAAGCUCUUGAUCGAAGCCCCGGUAAACGGCGGCCGUAACUAUAACGGUCCUAAGGUAGCGAAAUUCCUUGUCGGGUAAGUUCCGACCUGCACGAAUGGCGUAAUGAUGGCCAGGCUGUCUCCACCCGAGACUCAGUGAAAUUGAACUCGCUGUGAAGAUGCAGUGUACCCGCGGCAAGACGGAAAGACCCCGUGAACCUUUACUAUAGCUUGACACUGAACAUUGAGCCUUGAUGUGUAGGAUAGGUGGGAGGCUUUGAAGCGUGGACGCCAGUCUGCGUGGAGCCAACCUUGAAAUACCACCCUUUAAUGUUUGAUGUUCUAACGUUGGCCCCUAAUCGGGGUUGCGGACAGUGUCUGGUGGGUAGUUUGACUGGGGCGGUCUCCUCCCAAAGCGUAACGGAGGAGCACGAAGGUUAGCUAAUCCUGGUCGGACAUCAGGAGGUUAGUGCAAUGGCAUAAGCUAGCUUGACUGCGAGCGUGACGGCGCGAGCAGGUGCGAAAGCAGGUCAUAGUGAUCCGGUGGUUCUGAAUGGAAGGGCCAUCGCUCAACGGAUAAAAGGUACUCCGGGGAUAACAGGCUGAUACCGCCCAAGAGUUCAUAUCGACGGCGGUGUUUGGCACCUCGAUGUCGGCUCAUCACAUCCUGGGGCUGAAGUAGGUCCCAAGGGUAUGGCUGUUCGCCAUUUAAAGUGGUACGCGAGCUGGGUUUAGAACGUCGUGAGACAGUUCGGUCCCUAUCUGCCGUGGGCGCUGGAGAAUUGAGGGGGGCUGCUCCUAGUACGAGAGGACCGGAGUGGACGCAUCACUGGUGUUCGGGUUGUCAUGCCAAUGGCACUGCCCGGUAGCUAAAUGCGGAAGAGAUAAGUGCUGAAAGCAUCUAAGCACGAAACUUGCCCCGAGAUGAGUUCUCCCUGAGACUU